Vararia minispora EC-137 is the source of this 95-nucleotide non-coding RNA. The record is from the annotation of a GenBank genome assembly. NCBI's taxonomy places the organism in Eukaryota, Fungi, Basidiomycota, Agaricomycetes, Russulales, Lachnocladiaceae.
GACACUUUGGCCGAGGGGUUAAGGCGUUCGCCUGCUACUACAUUUGGUACAGCGGAUGGGCUCUGCCCGCGAGCGUUCGAAUCGCUCAGGUGUCG